GGAAAGGGGUGAGAUUAUGCAGGAAAAUUCACUAGUUUUAUACACUUUCUAUGGAACAAUUACAGUAUGCUAUACAUCGUGUUUUGCAUCAGGGGGAAAACUAAGCCUGUAAUUCCGUGCUUAGAAGGCUCAGAGAAAAUGUACUGUUGAUGUGAACCAUAGUGUUGUCAGUGAAAUAAACACAAGACAAAAUACAGAGGCAGAAACUUCAAGACUCUAUGUCCAAUUGAAAAGUAAGAAGUUCUGACAAAAACUGAGAUGUUGAGCUUCAAUAACUGAGAUAUAAAUGAUACAAACCAAAAUAGAAAAUGUGAUGACCAGGAGACAUACUGAAUUUAAUCUAUUGGUGAUUAAAUUGUAUAGGGAAUUUUUAACAGGCAUUUGAACAUCAAGAUCUAGAAUUUGGUAAAGAGUACUGUAGAGAAAACAGUAAGAUAAUUAAGAAUCAUCUAGUAAGGCAGAAAAUAAAACUGUGUGUAUGCAUCAGAUGGCAGAGAAGAAGCACUUAAAAACAGAGAAGGUAAACCAGGAGAGUAUAAAUAUUCAUUUGUUUAUUCAUUAAAUAACUACUUAAUUUUAAGAAAGUGAGAGGUUUAAGUGCAAGUAGCUGCCAAGUAGACUAAUGUAUCCUACUAAUGAAUCCUCCCAAGACAGUGUAUACUACUAAGAAAUAAUUGGUGACUUUUAAAGUAAGCAUUCUUGGCAAAUGAAGGCAUUCAAGCUAAUUUGCAGUGAGAUAAAAAGAAGGAACAACGAAGAAAGUGAAGGCAACAAGGUAGUAUUUUUUUCUACAUAUUGUGUGAAAAAUCUUAAGAAACUUUCAUUUCACAGGUCGAAAUGAAAGUUGUCAUGGCUAAAGAAAAAUGGGAGGAUAACUUAGGUGGGUCAACAAAGAUAGUUUAGUAUUUCGGUUCCAGGGAGAAUUCUUUCUUAUAUGUGAGACACGUACCUUGGUUUUUAAACAUUAUUUUUGUAAAGACUGUCUUCAUAAUUUUGUAGGUUACCUUCCUUUUCAGAGCAGAGCAACACUAUAAGAUCCUUGACAUUUUUAAGGAUGCUAACGAGCCAAGUAGAUGCUUGUAUCUUGAGGAUAGGCAUCUGGCCAAUGGUCAUGAAAUUGCAGGGCUUAUCAAAUUCUGUCCUUGGAUCCCAGUGAAAAGUGAAAUAUCCCUAACUGAUCUUUGGGAUACUAAAAUUCAUGCUUUAGCAGUAUGGAAAAGUAUUAAAGAGCUUUAUUAGGUUACAACUAGUUUUACCCAAUCUAAAAAGUUACCUUGCACCUAAGUAAAGAAGAUUAUUUAUGUAAUUAUCUGCACAUAUGUCCCCA
RNAcentral lists this long non-coding RNA (1327 nucleotides) under Homo sapiens (human). Its description in RNAcentral is "HSALNT0138906". Lineage: Eukaryota; Metazoa; Chordata; Mammalia; Primates; Hominidae. The record is from RNAcentral.